UUUAGCAUGGAAUAAUGGAAUAGGACUCGAGUCGUAUUUUGUUGGUUCAACGAAACGAGUAAUGAUUAAUAGGGGCAGUUGGGGGCAUCUCUACUAUUGCGGGACUGGUGAAAUGGGUUGAUCGCAGUAAGAGAAACUGAAGCGAAAGCGUUUGCCAAGGAUGCUCUCAUUAGUCAAGGACGAAAGCUAGAGGAUGGAAGGCGAUUAGACACCGCUGUACUUCUAGCCAUAAACUAUACCGCCUAGGGAUUGGAGGCAGGUAUUACACUCCUUCAGCACCUUUUGAGAAAUCAAAGGCUUCGGGUUGCGGGGGGAGUAUGGUCGCAAGGCUGAAACUUAAAGGAAUUGACGGAAGGGCACCACCAUUAGUGGAACCUGCGAUUCAAUUUGACUCAACACGUAAACCUUACCAGGGCCAGACACUGUUAGGAUUGACAAGCUGAAAGACUUUUCUUGAUUCGGUGGUUGGUGGUGCAUGGCCGUAUUUAGUUCGUGGAGUGAUUUGUCUGGUUGAUUCCGAUAACGAACGAGACCCCCGCCUGCUAACUAGAUGAGCUGUUUUUACAGUAUCGUCUUCUUAGAGGGACAACUGGUGCAAGCCAGGGGAAGUGGGGGGCAACUACAGGUCAGUGAUGCCCUUAGAUGUCCUGGGCCACAGGCGUGUUAUAAUGGCAUGGUCAUCAAGCAUCUGCUAGUCCGAUAGGAUAGGCUAAUCUUGUGAAACCAUGUCGUAGUGGGGAUAGAGCAUUGCAAUA
Molecule: ribosomal RNA, 755 nt
Filed under: uncultured fungus
Lineage: Eukaryota; Fungi
Description: bacterial SSU rRNA
Rfam family: Eukaryotic small subunit ribosomal RNA
Source: RNAcentral